Molecule: unclassified non-coding RNA, 251 nt
Filed under: Hevea brasiliensis (rubber tree)
Lineage: Eukaryota; Viridiplantae; Streptophyta; Magnoliopsida; Malpighiales; Euphorbiaceae
Source: RNAcentral
GAUUCGUGGCACUUUUGCUUCAGAAUCCUUGAGAACAGCAGUGGAAUUAACCCUUAAUUGCCUAGUUAACGACCCGAAAGAGCGCCCUUCGAUAGAUGAUAUUCUUUGGAAUCUGCAGUACUCGGUUCAGGUCCAAGAUGGAUGGGCUAGCAGCGAGAAUCUCAGCACUCAAUCGUAGCCCUUGAGCCUACCGUUAUAAUUGUACUCCCGCUUUAGUGCAGCGGCAAAUAGUGCGUGCCUCUUUUAGAGAG